GGAAUACCUCGCGCUUGGUUACAUCGAUGUCAGCAACAAGAUCUGCUGCAUAUAUCUGAAGCCGCUCAUAUGGAUAUAUUGGGAUUCCUUCAUCAUCUUCAGUUUCACCCUCUUUUACAUCUUCCUUUAUGAUUUUGGAAAGAUCCUUCUCACAGUUGGUGGAGGAGUUGAAAGGUUCCUUGCAUUUGGGUUCUCAAAAUUAGCGGCCAGCGCAUUGAAAGCUGGAGACCUGCCUCUCGCUCGAACUCGGUCAGCACUGACAGACACGCUUCGGGAACGUUGAGAUUUAUCUGAAAAUCAAGCAAAAAAGUAUAAUGCAACAAGAAGAACAAGGAGGAGAGCAGCAACAACCAAAUGCAUCCCAAGAGUUAAAGAACUGUGAUUGACACAUUUAAUCAGUGCACUCACAAGUAGGGUGCAUUAUUCAAUGCAAAUAUACUAAAGGCAUUGCUGUAAUUUUGC
Molecule: long non-coding RNA, 462 nt
Organism: Diospyros lotus (date-plum)
Lineage: Eukaryota; Viridiplantae; Streptophyta; Magnoliopsida; Ericales; Ebenaceae
Exons: 3
Source: RefSeq, a predicted model, not a curated record